GGAUCUGCCGAAUUGGAUUUGCCGAAUCGACAUAAUGCCGAAAUUGUAUUGUCGAUUCGGCAAAACUUGCCGUCGCGCUGGUCCGACAACUGUCUAGUUUGAAAAUGAAUUUUGUUAAAGCGGAUGGUUGCAAUGAAAUGUGCGCCCAACUCCUCCCUACCAGUUUCCCCAGCCCGAAUUUCACGAAUGGAAACGGAAAGCAAAGAGGGAACAUAAAUAGUAUGUAUGUAUAUUAGUAGUUAGUUAGUAUAUUGUAUUGUGCUGUGUUAGUAUAUUUUAUUUAAUAGGCAUUAUUUCGUUUUUCAAGCAUCAUUGUUUCAAGUUAAUUUUCUUUUAUUACAACUAUUUUACUCGCAGGUAAAAUUUGCCAUUUAGGUUAUUUUGUACCCUGCGUUUUCCCUUAUUUUAAGACAAAUUCCGUUUCCUUAUUUGAAUUCCGUAAAAUUAUAUCAUACAUCGCAUCCAGCGGUACAAGUGCUUUCAAUUUAAAUGCUUUGUGUUAAUAAACUGCGUGUCGGCCUUCGAAAUUUUAUUCUUGUGAGAGUAAUAAAAAACAGCUGUCGCGCCAGUACCCAUCGUCAAGUGAAUUAUACUGGAACGCCAGCACCUCUCCGUAUUGUGCAUGGUUAAAUGUAGACGUCACAUACCGUUUUUUUUUAGCCACAGGCCCACAGCACAGCAGCCAUAGCAGCCGCACCACAGCGACUUUGACGGUCGUUUGGCUCAACUGUGCAGUUUGUUUUUUAAGCGUCAUGGUUUGACAGUUCUGUUUUUAUUUUUCUAAAAUGGAAAGAGAGAAGCUCUUAAUAAGAAACAUUUAUUUAUCAGUUAGAAAACGGAGAUGUAGCUGUCAAGACAACUGAAAAAGCAUCAAGCAUUCACAUCCUGGAUAUGGCUACUGGCUCUCAGGAAUUCAUGUUUAUCUCUAGGUUCUUAACCAAGCUUUCCUUCCUGAACACCCUUUGUGGUUAUUGUUGUAGAUCCUGUUAACACUAUUUCAGGUGAUGAGGUGUGUCUUCGAGCCUUCCAACAUACCCUAAGGAUGUCAAACCCCCAAAUGAAGAGCCAGGUGGGGCAUCAAAUCAUCCACUAAAUAACGAUGAAGAUUUUUGUCUGCAAAGGCCUGGAAGCUGCCAAGAACAGCAACUCUAGCACCGCCCCG
This is a long non-coding RNA of Daphnia pulex (common water flea), 1162 nucleotides long. RefSeq lists it as uncharacterized. Lineage: Eukaryota; Metazoa; Arthropoda; Branchiopoda; Diplostraca; Daphniidae. The transcript is spliced from 4 exons. The record is from RefSeq and is a predicted model, not a curated record.